This 810-nucleotide unclassified non-coding RNA is filed under the name Carpetania elisae. RNAcentral's name for it is "Hormogaster elisae partial contains 16S ribosomal RNA, tRNA-Leu, tRNA-Ala, tRNA-Ser, and tRNA-Leu". The stretch from base 1 to 528 matches the Rfam family "Bacterial large subunit ribosomal RNA", at positions 1857 to 2925 of the family's 2925-position model. Lineage: Eukaryota; Metazoa; Annelida; Clitellata; Crassiclitellata; Hormogastridae. The record is from RNAcentral.
UCCUGCCCAGUGACACAGUUCAACGGCCGCGGUAUCCUAACCGUGCAAAGGUAGCAUAAUCACUUGCCUAUUAAUUGUAGGCUAGAAUGAAGGGAAAAACGAAAUAAAGACUGUCUCUACAUACAAAAUAAAAAUUAAUUUCUAACUGAAGAGUGUUAGAUUUAAUCGAAGGACAAGAAGACCCUAUAGAGCUUCAUCUAAGAAAGAAUUAAUUUGUUCUUUUAUAUGAUUCGGUUGGGGCGACCAAGGAUAUUUUAAAUCAUCCUAUAUUAAAAGAUUUAUAAAUCAUAAUCUCUGACCCUUUAAUAAGAGCACAAAAUCAAGCUACCUUAGGGAUAACAGACUAAUCCUGCUUGAGAGUCCUUAUCUAAAGCAGGGGUUGGCACCUCGAUGUUGGCUUAGGGAAACUAUAUGACGCAAAAGUCUUAUAAAGAUGGUUUGUUCAACCAAUAAAUCCCUACAUGAGCUGAGUUCAGACCGGCGUAAGCCAGGUUAGUUUCUAUCCACGAUAAAUAUAAUCUAUUUCUAGUACGAAAGGACCGGAGUAAGAAUAAUUAUUAAAGUUAACGAAUUAAUAUAAAUUUAAUCAUAAAUUUAAUGUACUAAAAACUAUAAGUGUUUUGGCAGAAUAGUGCCACUGAUUUAGGAUCAGUUCAUGGAUAUGUCCACUCACUAAUGCAACUUAGUUUAUUUAGAAUAAUCAACUUGCACUUGAUAGGAGAAAAUUUCAGUAGCGAUUUGAUGUUUUGGAAACAAUAGACCUUGAAAGUCUACUUAAGAUGUUCGAUUCACCUUCAAACCUGACAAGAU